This 550-nucleotide ribosomal RNA is filed under the name uncultured euryarchaeote. RNAcentral describes it as "bacterial SSU rRNA". It matches the Rfam family "Archaeal small subunit ribosomal RNA", at positions 325 to 879 of the family's 1478-position model. The record is from RNAcentral. Lineage: Archaea; Methanobacteriati; Methanobacteriota.
AUGGGGCGCACCAGGCGCGAAAACUUUACAAUGCGAGAAAUCGUGAUAAGGGAACCCCGAGUGCCCGUAAAUUCGGGCUGUCCNUCAGUGUAAAUAACUGGUGAAGAAAGGGCCGGGCAAGACCGGUGCCAGCCGCCGCGGUAAUACCGGCGGCUCGAGUGGUGGCCACUAUUACUGGGCUUAAAGCGUCCGUAGCUUGGUUGUUAAGUCUCCUGGGAAAUCCAUCGGCUCAACCGAUGGGCGUUCAGGGGAUACUGGCAACCUAGGGACCGGGAGAGGUGAGAGGUACUCCAGGGGUAGGAGUGAAAUCCUGUAAUCCUUGGGGGACCACCUGUGGCGAAGGCGUCUCACUAGAACGGCUCCGACAGUGAGGGACGAAAGCUGGGGGAGCAAACCGGAUUAGAUACCCGGGUAGUCCCAGCCGUAAACGAUGCGCGUUAGGUGUAUCGGUGACCACGAGUCACCGAGGUGCCGAAGGGAAACCGUGAAACGUGCCGCCUGGGAAGUACGGUCGCAAGGCUGAAACUUAAAGGAAUUGGCGGGGGAGCAC